ACGCCUAAAUCUGGUCAGGACCGGAAGGUAGCAGCCACAAGGGAUGCUUGA
Molecule: non-coding RNA, 51 nt
Filed under: Prochlorococcus marinus
Lineage: Bacteria; Bacillati; Cyanobacteriota; Cyanophyceae; Synechococcales; Prochlorococcaceae
Source: Rfam by way of RNAcentral